CGCGUAGGCGGCUUUUUAAGUCGGAUGUGAAAUCCCUGAGCUUAACUUAGGAAUUGCAUUCGAUACUGGAAGGCUAGAGUAUGGGAGAGGAUGGUAGAAUUCCAGGUGUAGCGGUGAAAUGCGUAGAGAUCUGGAGGAAUACCGAUGGCGAAGGCAGCCAUCUGGCCUAAUACUGACGCUGAGGUACGAAAGCGAUGGGGAGCAAACA
RNAcentral lists this ribosomal RNA (208 nucleotides) under uncultured bacterium. Its description in RNAcentral is "partial 16S ribosomal RNA". It matches the Rfam family "Bacterial small subunit ribosomal RNA", at positions 568 to 774 of the family's 1533-position model. The record is from RNAcentral.